GCCAGUAACAUGAUGGAACUUCCUUUCAGCAUGUCCCUGCUCGUAACAGCUUUCAAGGCCUGUUAGCAACUACAGCCCUUGGCACCGCUUAACAACUUAAGUGAAUUGAACAAUUGCUAACAAUUACCUUCCCAAAACCCUAACCCAGGUCCUUACAGCUUCUAACAGUCCCUAGAAUCAGACAACUGUUAACUUAAAAAAACCUAACAGCCGUCAAAAAUUCUUUCUCAGCAUCUGGGUGACCCAACCAGAAUGAAACAUCCUGUCAACAAUAUCCUGCUGUGGCAGAAAGCGCUCUGUUACAGGUCCUUACAGCUUCUAACAGUCCCUAGAAUCAGACAACUGUUAACUUAAAAAAACCUAACAGCCGUCAAAAAUUCUUUCUCAGCAUCUGGGUGACCCAACCAGAAUGUAACAUCCUGUCAACAAUAUCCUGUUGUGGCAGAAAGCGCUCUGUUACAGGUCCUUACAGCUGCUAACAGUCCCUAGAAUCAGACAACUGUUAACAGUGUGGGCUCCAGGUACAUGUCAGUCACAGGGCCUAACAGGACCAAACAGCCUCUAACCCAGUGUCUAACUGGCUGUUAUGCCACGUUGACAACUAUCGUCAGCAGCUGAUAAUGAGCCCGGCUGACAGCUCCGCCUAAGAAGUUAGCCGCUGUUAGACCCCCUAUGAGUUGGUAGGGCCUUGGACUUCAAUGUUGUCCAGAAUGUAACAUAUACAUAAAAGUGAGCACAAGGAUGGGGACCACCUCUGGGAGCCAAGGGGGCCC
This 773-nucleotide long non-coding RNA is filed under the name Volvox carteri. RNAcentral describes it as "long non-coding RNA (VCAR_LNC004220)". Lineage: Eukaryota; Viridiplantae; Chlorophyta; Chlorophyceae; Chlamydomonadales; Volvocaceae. The record is from RNAcentral.